AUACGGAGGGUGCAAGCGUUACUCGGAAUCACUGGGCGUAAAGCGCGCGCAGGCGGCUAUUUAAGUUGGAUGUGAAAGCCUACGGCUCAACCAUAGAACUGCAUCCAAAACUAUUUAGCUAGAGUGUGGGAGAGGAGGAUGGAAUUAGUUGUGUAGGGGUAAAAUCCGUAGAGAUAACUAGGAAUACCAAAAGCGAAGGCAAUCUUCUGGAACACUACUGACGCUGAGGCGCGAAAGCGUGGGGAGCAAACAGGAUUAGAAACCCUUGUAGUCC
This 274-nucleotide ribosomal RNA is filed under the name uncultured bacterium. Its description in RNAcentral is "partial 16S ribosomal RNA". It matches the Rfam family "Bacterial small subunit ribosomal RNA", at positions 523 to 796 of the family's 1533-position model. The record is from RNAcentral.